This 398-nucleotide long non-coding RNA is filed under the name Numida meleagris (helmeted guineafowl). RNAcentral's name for it is "lncRNA (ENSNMEG00000018832.1)". The record is from RNAcentral. Lineage: Eukaryota; Metazoa; Chordata; Aves; Galliformes; Numididae.
AAUGACCCCCAUAAAAUGUUGAUGUAAUUCUGCCGCAGCAGUGAAAGGCUAUAGAAAAUGGUGAGGAUUUUCUUCAUGCUGAGGCUGCAUUUGGUAGUGAAUGUUUCUUAUUCUUUUGCUCUAGAUAAAACAAUCAACACUUAGAGAAGACAACACAGUGUUUAAUGGAUGAUGUAACUGAAGAUUUAUCGUGUAAUUCAGUUGCCUGCAUGCACCUUGAAGCUCUGAAGUGAAUGCACAGGACAUCUGCCCAUGGAGCUGGUUUGGGGCUGUCUUCUCUGAGGGCAGAUACAGCUUUUAAAGAGAGAAAUACUUCGGGAUAGAUGCAGACCUGUUGUCAUUAGGGGUAAGUUCUGAGCUCCCGUCCAUAGUUACAUCUAUCGCGUUUAUCCUCUAAC